UACGUAGGGUGCGAGCGUUGUCCGGAAUUAUUGGGCGUAAAGCGCUCGUAGGCGGUUUGUUGCGUCGGCCGUGAAAACCUGCAGCUUAACUGUGGGCCUGCGGCCGAUACGGGCAGACUUGAGUUCGGUAGGGGAGACUGGAAUUCCUGGUGUAGCGGUGAAAUGCGCAGAUAUCAGGAGGAACACCGGUGGCGAAGGCGGGUCUCUGGGCCGAUACUGACGCUGAGGAGCGAAAGCGUGGGGAGCGAACAGG
This 253-nucleotide ribosomal RNA is filed under the name uncultured bacterium. RNAcentral describes it as "partial 16S ribosomal RNA". It matches the Rfam family "Bacterial small subunit ribosomal RNA", at positions 524 to 776 of the family's 1533-position model. The record is from RNAcentral.